CUCUAGAAGGCGCACAAUUGUAAAUUGUAUACAAGUCUGGUGCAACCUUGUUGUGGUUGUGUAAUCUCGAAUCAAAAUCACAAAAGAUGGGUAAACACAGUGAAGAGCCCAAGUAUGCUUAUCCCUAUCCCGCUCAUCAAGUUCCAGGAGCAAGUUAUUAUCAACACGGGCAUCCACCAACACCUCCGGUGAUGCCACCGCCGAUGUACAUGUCAGCUCCUCCUCCCAGGAAACGUUCCGGUCUUCUAGAGGGCUGUCUUGCAGCUCUAUGUUGCUGCUGCCUGGUGGACUCGUGCUGCGAUCCAGACCUUAUGUUCUUGAUGUAGCUCAGUGCAUAGCGCAUACUACACGUCUAUGCCCACUUUUCGACAAUUACACGUCCGUUAGUGAGCUUGGACGAUCAGGAAAAUGAUGUCUUGAAAGUAAAUAAAUGUUAUUUACUU
Molecule: long non-coding RNA, 443 nt
Organism: Daucus carota subsp. sativus
Lineage: Eukaryota; Viridiplantae; Streptophyta; Magnoliopsida; Apiales; Apiaceae
Exons: 3
Source: RefSeq, a predicted model, not a curated record